Bombus terrestris (buff-tailed bumblebee) is the source of this 5817-nucleotide long non-coding RNA. RefSeq lists it as uncharacterized. NCBI's taxonomy places the organism in Eukaryota, Metazoa, Arthropoda, Insecta, Hymenoptera, Apidae. The transcript has 3 exons. The record is from RefSeq and is a predicted model, not a curated record.
AUGCUGUUUACCUUGAAAAAUAGAUAAAUUUUCUUCAUUUAAGGCUCGCUGGCUCGUUCACUUGUAAGCUACGAACUCUCGAACCACCCUUUCCUUGCAUAUAUCACAGUGAAAGCGUAAAAUUUAGUAAAGGUAUAUGCUGACGUUUCAAUGUAUGCAUUUACGUGACAGUUUAGCGAAAGUGUCGAGAAGAAUAUAAGUGUCUACUAUUUUUAGUAAAUGUAUUCAUUUAGUAGACAAUGAAAUUGGUAUGUGCAUACAUUAACUAGUAAGUUUCUUGUCCCUGUUUCACGUGCUUACAUGAGAGUUUUCGAGAACCGUUUGCCCACACAGAGAAAAAUGUAUAAUUCAGCGGAGCGGAUAAACACGGUGUUACCUGUGAUCGGAGUCACCUGGCAGUCCGGUCACGAAUUUAUUUCACAACUACAUAACUUUCCUAACGCUUGGAACAGAGUAGCAAAACGAGGAUUGCGAUCUCGGGAUUUGUUUGGAGUCCAAACAUGCAUACAAUAGCGGUUGCUUCGUUAACGUCCGACAAAACGAAGUAAUACAUUUUUCUCGCUGUGAAAAUCUCGUUCUAUUCGUGACAAUGAAUCCACGUGAAUUACCAGUGCGCCCUGUUGCUGAUAUUAUAACCCAGAUUCUAUGUGAAAAAAUAAGUUGAAAGUUUUUCUUCUUGUAUGCUAAUAUUUGUACCUACGUUUGUGCUUAUAAUAUUGGACAACGGGGAACUUGUAGUAAAGCUGGGUACCGAUGUAUCAUCAAUUUUAUUAUUUUUGAAAUUGUUGAGAAUUUUUAUCAUUAUCCAAUACAUAUAUAUAUAAACAUAAUUAACGCGGUUAAUUGUACUUAAUAUUUAAAGUCAGCUCUUCGUAAAAAAGAACUUUGUAUAAAACUUUUUUAUGUUUUUGAUUUAUAUAUGUAGAAUCACCUUUUUUACCUCUUUACGAAAUACUCUGUAUAGUCGAUAUAAAUAAUUUCGACCUUUGACCCUUAUGAAAUGAAAAUUAAUAACCAUACAUAAUAUGCCAUAAAACUUAACACCGAUAUCAGCGGAUAUAUUAGCUGUAAAAAAAAAAACUGAAAAAAGUACCGCCCAGCUACCUUCAGUAUCAGCUUCAAUAAAAAGCAAGAAGGUACGUGAUGUAAACGUAUCUUGCAAGUUACGAAAUCCAAGUACAAAGUCCACGGUACUGCUACGCGAGCCAAGAAAGAAAGACGAAAAGAACAUAGAUCUCGCCAACAAGAAAACACAAUACAACGACUUACUACGUGACUAAAAACUAUAGAGCAAAAAAGAAGAAACUAGAAGGUGAAAGAGUUAGAAACAGAAUGGUUUCGCGAUGUUUAACAACUGCGAAGAGGAAAAUUUGAAAUUUUGCAUGAAGUCGCGUUCGACGACGCGUAUUGCAUGAGAGCGCACGCACACGUGCAACCAAUGCGCCGCGCGGUAUACUCUCACUGUCCUCGGGGACGUUGCUCGAGGACGAGGAUAAAUUUUCCUCUUCGCGCCGAUAUCAAUGAUUUCCCCUCCUCGCGGUGCAACGAGCGACCAGCAAGAAGCGGCGGUCUUUGCGUUCGCGAGCGUUACAGGUUCGUGUUCGCGAAUCGUUAAACUAUUAUAUAAUGCUCUCUCAAAUUGUUCACUGGAACGCUGCGUAUUUUCUGCAAGUAGCGUUUGAGCCGCCGCGCCGCCACAUUGAGGACGAUUUAAGUGUGCAAAUUUUUUUGUUAAAAGAAGUGUUUACUGAUUUCUUUUUAAUUCUUUUUGUAGUAAGAACGUAACACGUAUUUCUAAAUCUUUUUAGAAUUUUAGUAAAUGAUUAUGAAUAUAGGGCGUGGGUUGAGUAUAAUGUUGGAAGUUGGAGAUAUGAAUAUCAUUUUUUUUUUUUUGCGUACAAUGGACUUUCCUAUGACAGCUCUAGGGUAACAGGCCUAAUCCUGAUCCUAAUCCUAACAGUAAUAGAAUCAUUUUUGUUUUUAAUUAGUUAUUUGGAUAACUUUGACCAAAGUUAAUAACAUUUAUUAUAACGCGUACUUCCUUUUUUAUGAUAUCUUUGUUUAUAAUUCUUUUCUGAAGUACUCUGUUUUAUUCUGCAGUUCUUUUUCUUAUUUUAAUUCAAGUAUUAUAAAGAAGAAUUUGUUUCUCGAUAAACUUCUUAAUUAGUGUCAACAUCAAUUAUCAAGUAAAUUAGUUACUUUAUCAGAUAGACGAUGUGAUAACAACCUUUAUUAGAUAAAUUUAUGUACUUAAUAAUAGUUAUAAAACUCAUAUCGUCGAAAAAGAAACGAUCUUUUAAUAUAAUAAAAUUAAUUGUUACGCGUGUGACGCUCGUUAUUAUAUCACGUAUUAAGCGUGAACGAGGCGGUUUGACCGAUCAGUAGCGAAUAUUCAUUCGAAUUCGUUCAACUUAAUUCCUUUUACGGCCGUUGAAAUGUCGCGUGUAGCGCGUUCGCGCGUUCUGCGAAUAAUUCCCUCUUGGUUCUCACGCUGAACGGUUGUUUGUAUUCGGAAAUUGAAACUGACGAAUGAAAACGGUUUUUCUGUUUCGAUUACUUAUUUGUUUAUUUAAUGGAGCUUUUCAAUUUUUGUUUCGUAUUUUCUGAAAUAAUAAGUAAUAUUACAGAAUGCAUAACAAUGUAAAUGUUCAUCUUUUUCUUAACAGAGAUAUUAAUAAAAAUUUCUUCUAUUUCUCUAAAAGUUCAAGAAAAAUCUUUUAAACUACAUACGAACCACAAUAGGAAAAAAAUUGUUUGACGAAGAAAUUGAUUAAAUCGUUUAAUUGUUUCAUUAGUUUUGAACACUCUUAGUUAAUAUCCAUGCAUUUAUGAAACCUUUAAGCCUCCUUUCAAUACGAUAUAAAUUUGUUACAAUGAAAUAAGUCUUCAUAUUAUGUUCCGCUAUCAAAAUUAUAAAAACUCUAUAACAUUGUUCAAGUAAGUUAUAAUUAAGAUACAUUUUUUAUACGCGUUUGCUACGACUUCAUUCCAUUACCGAUUAAUACCAACGCAUUUUUUAUGCGAAGUAUGACACUGCGCGAUUUGUAAAUCUUUCUACAAAAUUUAUAUUACUUAUUGCAAAGUUCAGCCUUCUUCUAUAUAAGUGCACAAUUCAUAGACACAUUUUAUACAACUGAAAGGACGAUAGACAGAACGAUUCGGAUGAACGUCGAAUGAUUAAUAGAUGUAAUCGAAUUUAACGAGGUGUAAAAUAUCGUGAUAUCGGAACGAAAUUAAUCCCGUUAGCACGGCACUUGGUAUCAUUGAACGUCUUGCGAAAAUCCCCUCUGUAUUCGUGCGCGAUAAAUCAUCGUAAUUUCGUGUUUUACGGCGGGCCGUUUCGCGUCGCCGCAUUACGACGACUGGAGGCUGCGCGCGCAAAUCAAAAGACAUUACGUUGUCAAUUGUAACUUAUGUUAAAUUAUAAGCAUCGCACGACGACGGUUUACACGCACUGGAGGCUUUGCCUGCGGGCGUAAAGGCAACACGCGGAGAAAGAUCAAGGAACGAUAAAAUGCAAGUACGCUGUAUUAAAGAUUUGCGCAACGAUCACUGAUCGUGCCAUAUAAGGUCGGCAAAAAAUCUCGAGACUGUGUGUUAGAUCGUAAAAAAACGAAAUUUACAACGUGUAACGUUGAACGUACCGUUUGUUUGUUUAUUACUUUUCUUUCAUAUCGUGAGAAUUUUUAUUGUACUCCGUCCGAAAAGAGAAAAGCGGGAGCUGUAAGCUGAAUAAAACCAUAAUUAUAUAACGAAUCAUUUUAUGAAUGCUAUAUCAUUUAUUAUAGAGAUGUACCUAAUUAAUAAUAACACAAGAAACAUAUGGAAAUUAAUUCUUAAACAAAGUUCGUUCUACACUCUGCAUACAUGUAUUUCAUAACAUUUUAUCGCGGACUACUACUUACUAAAGUACUUUUAAAACAUUUACGAAUUAGAAGAAGUGACGAACAAAUACAAUAAAAAGUAUAUAUAAAGAUUCGAUCCUACGUAACGCUACAUGGAAAUAUUGCCUGAAAAUAUGAUUCAUUGGCAUUGUGACAUCACUAUCGUAGAAUAUCUAAAAUUUUUGCACAAUACCCAACCAAAAUACAUUCACAUUCUAAUUUCAUAAUCACUCAAUAUUUUUACGCAUUCCUGACAUUAAAAACUCUUAAUUAAUCAUCCAUAAUAAACAGAUAGACUAAACUUUCAUCUCUACAGUAUUUCAGAUCGUAAAACAUCGAAUAAUGUUGUUGAAUAGAAGCGAAAAGAGAAGCGAAAAGCGAAGUUCGCAGAAUUUCGUGUCUAUUUAUGGAACAUGUACACUAUAAUGACUAACGCGUAGACGCGUGCAGUUACGAAUAGCUCAAUUAGAUCGUUCUACAUUGUACAGCCGGGCGUAGUAGAGGAAUCGCGUACGCACUGUGAACGUUAUACACAGUGUACGUGAACUCGAGGCGUAGCCCGAGGUCUGCAACGGGUCUUUCGCGGGGCAAAAAAUUCCUGGAAAAAAUAAGGUGCAAUCGCUCCGUGUGGCGAGCUAAAUAUUUUACGCAACGAGGGCACGGAUAACUGUGAUCAGCAUAAUUAGUUUCACGGGUUGCGUUGGCUACGCGGCGCGUUGCCUCGUUGCAUGCUUGUAAAAAGUCAAUCCGAGAAAGGAACAUUAUCAUAAAUCGCUAUCGGGAUACGUUAGGUUGUGAAACAAGCACGGAAGGGGCAAGUUCACCGAGUCGUUAGACGAUGUAAAAAUAGAAUAAUAUUAGGACCUCUUCAGUAAACAGAAGAGGAAAGAAAGAAAACGAUGUUCACGUAUAUUCCAUUCGUAGUUCCCUUCCAUCAAGCGCAGAUGGACUUGGUUGUCAAAGGAAUAUCGAUUUGUUCGAGUUUAACGGUAAACAGAGUUCUAAUGCUCGUAUUUGGUGUAUCAAGGAAUGCAGGAGAGUUCCAAGCCCGAUGUUGGCCGGCGAAAUCGACACACUCGAAUUCGGUAACAAACCCCCGUAUGUUUGAAUUCGAUAUCGAGCAGAAUCGAUUCAUUCAAAUUCGAAGGCAAACAAAUUCGCUAGAGAGCGAGACGGAUGCACUUAAAGCUCGGCAUGAAAAAAAAUCGAUGAGGUCGAAUCGAGGAACAAACGAGACAACCCAUUUGUUCGAUUCGCGCGAAUCCGAUUAAACUACAUUUUUCGAGUAAUUUUCAAAAGACUCGAAGAUUUAAAGUACGUGAUUGCGUUUAUUUAGAAUAUGUCUAUUAUAUACACAUAGAUACUUUCACAAAUACAAGCGAAUAAUGUGACAUUGAAUGUAAUUAAUAUCACUUUUGUGUGACAGCAUUGAAUAAAAUAUUCGCCUUCUCCAUUAACUCAUCAAAAUAAAUGGUUCUGGAUUCUUUGCAUCUACAAUUACUAAAAAUAUUCAAGAGCUUCUGAAAACGUUAAUACCGAGUUUUAUUGAAAUGAGAGCUGGGAACACGUAUUAUACGUACCUGUAUACUUUCGUCGUUUUGCUUUAAUUAAAAUUAGUUAGGUGUGAUAUGUUUAUGUAUGAAUUAUAGAUUAUUAACUCUAGUGUUAAUAUUCGACAUUGACUUUCACGCCUGCAAUAUACACUUAUGUUCACAGCCUGUCCUUUAGUAGUCGGUAUUUCCUGGUUAAAAGUUUCAAAAGUGUCUUUUUGAAAAAUGAGUUAUACAUGUUAUUGGCUUCCUAAUAAUCUUCACCAUAAUCUUGAUCAAUGCGAGAUUCAACGAUAUAUGUAGUUAUAACAAUACAUCGCAACUUAUUUUUACCGCUGUUACAAUCUGGCAAAUAUCUCGUAUCCGCCUUCUAAAUAUCUCAA